Molecule: ribosomal RNA, 440 nt
Filed under: uncultured bacterium
Lineage: Bacteria
Description: partial 16S ribosomal RNA
Rfam family: Bacterial small subunit ribosomal RNA
Source: RNAcentral
CCUACGGGAGGCAGCAGUGGGGAAUAUUGCUCAAUGGGGGGAACCCUGAAGCAGCAACGCCGCGUGGAGGAUGAAGGUUUUCGGAUUGUAAACUCCUUUUGUUCGGGAAGAAAAUGACGGUAUCUGACCCAUAAGCACCGGCUAACUCAGUGCCAGCAGCCGCGGUAAUACGGAGGGUGCAAGCGUUACGCGGAUUAACGGGGCGUAAAGAGAGCGUAGGCGGGAUAGCAAGUCAGAUGGGAAAUCCGAGGGCUUAACCCUAGAACUGCAGUUGAAACUGUUAUUCUAGAGUAUGGGAGAGGUAGGUGGAAGGCGUGGUGUAGGGGUGAAAUGCGUAGAUAUCAAGAGGAACACUGAUUGCGAAGGCGACCUGCUAGAACGUAACUGACGCUGAGGCGCGAAAGCGUGGGGAGCAAACAGGAUUAGAUACCCGGGUAGUC